GAUGAACGCUGGCGGCGUGCCUAAUACAUGCAAGUCGAGCGAACAGACGAGGAGCUUGUUCCUCUGCCGUUAGCGGCGGACGGGUGAGUAACACGUGGAUAACCUACCUAUAAUACUGGGAUAACUUCGGGAAACCGGAGCUACUACCGGAUAAUAUAUCGAACCGCAUGGUGCAAUAGUGAAAGACGGCUUUGCUGUCUCUUAUAGAUGGAUCCGCGCCGCAUUAGCUAGUUGGUAAGGUAACGGCUUACCAAGGCAACGAUGCGUAGCCGACCUGAGAGGGUGAUCAGCCACACUGGAACUGAGACACGGUCCAGACUCCUACGGGAGGCAGCAGUAGGGAAUCUUCCGCAAUGGGCGAAAGCCUGACGGAGCAACGCCGCGUGAGUGAUGAAGGUCUUCGGAUCGUAAAACUCUGUUAUUAGGGAAGAACAAAUGUGUAAGUAACUAUGCACGUCUUGACGGUACCUAAUCAGAAAGCCCCGGCUAACUUCGUG
This 497-nucleotide ribosomal RNA is filed under the name uncultured bacterium. RNAcentral's name for it is "partial 16S ribosomal RNA". It matches the Rfam family "Bacterial small subunit ribosomal RNA", at positions 28 to 507 of the family's 1533-position model. The record is from RNAcentral.